Molecule: ribosomal RNA, 253 nt
Filed under: uncultured bacterium
Lineage: Bacteria
Description: partial 16S ribosomal RNA
Rfam family: Bacterial small subunit ribosomal RNA
Source: RNAcentral
UACAGAGGGGGCCAGCGUUGUUCGGAAUUACUGGGCGUAAAGGGCGCGUAGGCGGCCUUCUAAGUCGAACGUGAAAUCCCCGGGCUCAACCCAGGAACUGCGUCCGAUACUGGAAGGCUUGAAUCCGGGAGAGGGAUGCGGAAUUCCAGGUGUAGCGGUGAAAUGCGUAGAUAUCUGGAGGAACACCGGUGGCGAAGGCGGCAUCCUGGACCGGUUCUGACGCUGAGGCGCGAAAGCGUGGGGAGCAAACAGG